RNAcentral lists this ribosomal RNA (465 nucleotides) under uncultured bacterium. RNAcentral describes it as "partial 16S ribosomal RNA". It matches the Rfam family "Bacterial small subunit ribosomal RNA", at positions 28 to 507 of the family's 1533-position model. The record is from RNAcentral.
GACGAACGCUGGCGGCGUGCUUAACACAUGCAAGUCGUACGGUAAGGCCCUUUCGGGGGUACACGAGUGGCGCACGGGUGAGUAACACGUGAGUAACCUGCCCACAACUUUGGGAUAACGCUAGGAAACUGGUGCUAAUACUGGAUAUGUGCUCCUGCUGCAUGGUGGGGGUUGGAAAGCUCCGGCGGUUGUGGAUGGACUCGCGGCCUAUCAGCUUGUUGGUGGGGUAGUGGCCUACCAAGGCGGCGACGGGUAGCCGGCCUGAGAGGGUGACCGGCCACAUUGGGACUGAGAUACGGCCCAGACUCCUACGGGAGGCAGCAGUGGGGAAGAUUGCACAAUGGGCGCAAGCCUGAUGCAGCAACGCCGCGUGCGGGAUGACGGCCUUCGGGUUGUAAACCGCUUUCAGCAGGGACGAAGCUUUUUGUGACGGUACCUGCAGAAGAAGCACCGGCUAACUACGUG